Molecule: long non-coding RNA, 277 nt
Organism: Saccostrea cuccullata (small rock oyster)
Lineage: Eukaryota; Metazoa; Mollusca; Bivalvia; Ostreida; Ostreidae
Exons: 3
Source: RefSeq, a predicted model, not a curated record
CCUAUUUGGCAUUUAUUGUCCAGAGAGAGAGAGAAAAGGGUAACCUUGUCACACAUUAUCCUUCUCAGACUAUGAGAAGUAUUGUAGAAGGCACAUUUUCAGUACAGAAAUGCAGGCGAAGGUUGAAACUUUGGGAGUUUUCCACCAUUAUUGGAGCAGUGUGUCAGAACUAUCAUUGGACCCUUGUGAUUAUUGACUCUAGAAACAGGAUCCUAACAUUUCUUAAUCCAAAGCACGAGGGGAGAUCACAACUAGAUGAAAUUAAAAAGAAUUGGUG